Molecule: ribosomal RNA, 253 nt
Filed under: uncultured bacterium
Lineage: Bacteria
Description: partial 16S ribosomal RNA
Rfam family: Bacterial small subunit ribosomal RNA
Source: RNAcentral
UACGAAGGUGGCAAGCGUUACUCGGAAUUACUAGGCGUAAAGGGCAGGUAGGUGGUUUGAUAAGUCUGUUGUGUAAGUUCCUGGCUUAACUGGGAGAGGUCAACGGAAACUAUCAGACUUGAGUAUAGGAGAGGUUACUGGAAUUCCCGGUGUAGCGGUGAAAUGCGCAGAGAUCGGGAGGAACACCAAUUGCGAAAGCAGGUAACUGGACUAUUACUGACACUAAGCUGCGAAAGCUAGGGGAGCAAACAGG